Long non-coding RNA from Balaenoptera musculus (blue whale), 854 nucleotides. RefSeq lists it as uncharacterized. Lineage: Eukaryota; Metazoa; Chordata; Mammalia; Artiodactyla; Balaenopteridae. The record is from RefSeq and is a predicted model, not a curated record. The transcript is spliced from 4 exons.
GGGUCUGGGUGUCCCUGUGCGGGAUUGGACCCCGGGACUUUCUUGGGGCCGCAUUCAAACCCCUUUACUGCCCGGUGCCUCCAUCUCCGGCUUCUGGGUGUGCUGGGGGCCAACAGCUCACAGCCACCCCCUUCUCUGAAUAGUUAAUUGUCCUUGGCUGAUGGGAACUGCUGCGCCCUGGAAGUUAUCACUCCCCAAACACCUGGAGCUCAUGAUUGACUGGGGUUGCAGUAUAAAGGCCCAGCUCCUUUGCCUCCAAGAGAGUUGACUCGUGCUAUUCGUGCUCCGAGCUCCUCUGGAAUGAAGUUGAAGGAGUGAGAAUCCCCAGAAUAAUGAGAGGACAACCAACAGGGGAAGGAAGUCCCUGGGAGGCCUGGCCCUGUGCACAGCUGACAGGAGCGUGGCCUCCUCAGGAACCUCCAAGGAUUUGGCUUCGGGACAGUGCAGGGCUGCACCCACACUGAGACGAGCUCGGUUUCCUCAGGACCGGCUGGGAGGUGCCUCCAUGGGAGAAAAAGAAACCUGUAUGGGACAUUUUAUGGCAGCUUUAUUCAUAACAGCCAAAACUUGGAAGCAACCAAGACGUCCUUCAGGAGGUGAAUGGACACACAGACUGGUCUCCAUCCAUGCAACAGAAUGUUCUUCAGCACUGAAAAGAUAUGAGAGAGAUAUGGAGCCAUGGGGAGAUGGGAGGGGCACCUUAAGUGCAUAUCACUCACCAAACGAAGCCAAUCUGGGGCUUCCCUGGUGGCGCAGUGGUUGAGAAUCUGCCUGCCAAUGCAGGGGACACGGGUUCGAGCCCUGGUCUGGGAAGAUCCCACAUGCCGCGGAGCGACUAGGCCCGUGAGCCACAA